This is a long non-coding RNA of Bombus impatiens (common eastern bumble bee), 895 nucleotides long. RefSeq lists it as uncharacterized. NCBI's taxonomy places the organism in Eukaryota, Metazoa, Arthropoda, Insecta, Hymenoptera, Apidae. The record is from RefSeq and is a predicted model, not a curated record. The transcript is spliced from 3 exons.
AAAAGAUAGGAUCAUCGAAUAAAACAAGUUGCUAGCUUUUUGCUUUCACAACGACAGCGAAGAAUAAGAUAAAAAAACAUGCUAAAAUGAUAUGAAUUGCUUGUUGAAACUCGCACUUCCUAGCGAGAGGAAUAUUAUUAACAUAUAGCAAUAAUAUAUCGAUAUUAACAAUAUCGAAAAGCCCAGCAUUAAAUUCAAACAAAUAUCAGAGAACGAAAGAAGCGAUUGUUAAAUGAAAAUCCUCAUAGAAAUUGUCCAAUUUGGAACUUUAGAAAAAGGACCUGUAAGCAGCGAAUUGGAAAAACAUUUGUCAAAUAAUAUCAUCAGGAAAUUCAGCUUUUUUCUUUAAAAAUUAAAUACAAGGCGCCUGAAUUAUUCGUCCUUCGAAUGGCAAGGCGUUUUUCUGAUAAAGUUAUCAGCCAAUGUAUAAUAUAUUGGAUUCUGAAUAUAAGAGCGGUCGAUAAUUUGAAUUUUACUUACGUAUUUACAAGAUACCGUGUAAAUAACCGUUAAACAGAAUUAUCUAAGCGAGGAAGGCAAUUAUUUCUGAAGAUUAACGAGUUCGUUAGAUAAAUUUAUUCUCCUCAUUGCUAAUCGCACAGACGUUCAAUGUUAGUAGAAAACUUGAAGAAUUUACAGACCUGGUGGUAUCGUUGUUUCCUGGCUGCGCCAUUCUAAAUCGAUAGUGUACACCGUAAAUUACUGUUCUUGAGCUGUUUUCAAAAUUCUUUCACAAGCGCAUUCUUUGUUUCGCGCGUUCUGCACCAGCUACUAUGCCGCCAAGCUUCUUCUUUCUGCUUGCAAAUAACGUUCGAAGAAUUCAGGUAAUCUCAUGAGAUCCUGUCAGGAUUUUCUUCCUCUCAGAUCUUGUCAAGAUUGUCCUCACAAAAAAUAA